CCUGGGGAAGCGUUUUGUCCACAUUAGCACAGAGCGUGCCCUCAAGGAAACGUUUUGUGCUAACGUGGACAAAACGCUCCCCUAGGG
Molecule: non-coding RNA, 87 nt
Organism: Gossypium arboreum
Lineage: Eukaryota; Viridiplantae; Streptophyta; Magnoliopsida; Malvales; Malvaceae
Source: Rfam